CAGAUUCAGGACUAAUCUCAUUAUGCCCUUUAUCCCUGUUUGCGUCAGGGGCUGCAGGAAACUCAGGUCACCCUACCCCAUGGCCCUGAAUACUCCUUUUCUGACCCCAUCUGUUGGAACCUUUCCUCUGAGCCCUCAGGAGACCCCAGGGCAGCCUCUCUCUGGAACAUUCUCUCUCUUCUUUCUUGGACUGAAACCUACCUCUCCCCAAGACCUGCUUUCCUAUCUAUGUGGGGCUGCCCCUCAUACCCUCACCGGUGUUGGACAGGUCCUUACAGAUCAUCUUCUGUGCCCAUUCUGAGGAGCCCCUGCACAGGCUCUGUGACCCCAUUCCCCCACCCUCCCCAGCACCACACCACCAGGUUGCUCUGGUGGGGCAUGAUGUGGUCUCAGUGUAGGAACCCGACCACCAGUCGUCAGGCCUCAUCUUUCUUCAGCCAUCAGCAUUUCCCUCGGUGGAUCCUCACCAUCUCCCCAUCCCUAAAACAUUUCCAGGAAACAAAGUACUUCUGCUUUUCUGCCCUUGUGCUGUCUCUUUCACAUCAUAUGGAGUGGCCCUCUCAACUCUUGUGUUUCUGUUACAUGCACCUCCAGGGGCUACCAGUGCAUCUUCUGUUCUCUCUCAUGCCUGUCCCGCCAGCCCAGAUGUCUCCACCUGGCUCUCACAUAGGCUGUGUGUGCAAGAGAGAAAUGAACCAAAUGGAAAAUGCUGAGCAGAAAAAGUGGGGUGGCCAGAGAGGAAAUCCCCACGAUGGAGCUGGGGGACCCUGAGGCUUGCAGUCUUCCAAGUGCCAGCUCUCAUCCAGACCCCAGCUCGAGGGUCCGUAGGCCCGCUUGAACCUCAAUCGAAAGAAGCCAAUCACCAUCCUGCAAGUCAGCCCCCAGAAGACACCCUACCAAAGAAGGAGCCCACUGGGGUCACCUGGGAGGAAGAUGAGUGAUGAGACAAACUAUCUUCAUCCUUGCUCCCCCAACUAGCUUGAGUUCUAAAUGUGUCCAAAAUAACCCCAUCUUCCCCAUCUGUCUGUGUGGCACCUUCAUCUCUGUGGUUGCUCAAGGUAAAAAAUUAUCUGGGAGCCAUCCCUGGUUUCUUUCUAUUCUGCCCUGCCACUGAUCCAUUGGUAAGUCUGGUUGCUAGGCAGAGGAUCCACAGGAACCAUUGCUGGAGUUGAGCAGAAGCCAGAUUAGCAUGCUGUCUGAGGCAGGGCAGGAGAGAGGGCUUGGAGAGUUCUCUAAUCCAGGAAAGUAUGUGUAAUGUGCCUGCAACUUCAGACCAUGGGUAGCAGGAGAGCCACUGACUGGAUCCUCCAGUUUUCUGUGGUGAUAGGUUCCAAUACCCUGAGGUUGGCAUCCCAGGUGGGAGGCAGAGUCCCACGACCACCUGCCCUCUUGCUCAUGCCCUUCCCACAGAGAGAAAAGAGAGGCAGCUCUGGCAUCCCUGGAGCCUAGUGCUCUCCUUCCACAUGCAUAGUGCUAAGCUGAGCUGGGCAGAGCAGGGAGCACUGGCAGGUUGGUUUAGAGGACUGAACACAAGGGUGGAAGCACCAGCCAGGUGGAGGAGUAAAAAGACAUUUCUGGCAAAGAAAAUAGUCUCUGCAAACGAAGAAAGGCCAGAGAAGGUAUAGGACUAUUCAGCAAUCAGCACUAUGAGCUGUUUGGAGUGGCUGGGACCUAGGGCUGUGCCUGCAGAGGGUGAGGCCAGAGAGGCAGGCAGGACCAGGUCACAGAGCCUCCGGUGCUGUGCAUUUUCAAUGCCCAGCUAUGCUUUGCUGUUAGGGGAAAUAAGAUUUAAUACAGGACUCAAAAAUAAAAAGAAACAAAAUGUCUAACAAGCUACACCUUCAGUCUUAUUGAUAAAAUAUCGAGCCAUUAGUUGGGAUCUUUGGUAUUAAGUGUGGUUGAAAGAGAUGGUUAAAUAAUUACUUCCUCACUGCAAGGAAGAUGGAAGGAGCCUGCUGCUAUGCAUCCAAUCCCUGUGGGCAUGAAAUCUCUAAGCAUGACACAUCCAUGUACAAAGGCCACAGAAUAAUAUUUUUCUACAGCUAAAUAUGUGUAAGAGAACCAUUUGUAAUUUUGCAUAAUCUAUGGCAUGGCUAAAAGUGGAUUACGCUACAAAGGGAGGAAAACAAAUAAGAGCUUGGACCAACUCUG
RNAcentral lists this long non-coding RNA (2151 nucleotides) under Callithrix jacchus (white-tufted-ear marmoset). RNAcentral's name for it is "lncRNA (ENSCJAG00000083696.1)". The record is from RNAcentral. Lineage: Eukaryota; Metazoa; Chordata; Mammalia; Primates; Cebidae.